RNAcentral lists this ribosomal RNA (506 nucleotides) under uncultured bacterium. RNAcentral describes it as "partial 16S ribosomal RNA". It matches the Rfam family "Bacterial small subunit ribosomal RNA", at positions 29 to 523 of the family's 1533-position model. The record is from RNAcentral.
AGUGAACGCUGGCGGUAGGCCUAACACAUGCAAGUCGAACGGCAGCACAGGAGAGCUUGCUCUCUGGGUGGCGAGUGGCGGACGGGUGAGGAAUACAUCGGAAUCUACUUUUUCGUGGGGGAUAACGUAGGGAAACUUACGCUAAUACCGCAUACGACCUACGGGUGAAAGCAGGGGAUCUUCGGACCUUGCGCGAUUGAAUGAGCCGAUGUCGGAUUAGCUAGUUGGCGGGGUAAAGGCCCACCAAGGCGACGAUCCGUAGCUGGUCCGAGGGGAGGAUCAGCCACACUGGAACUGAGACACGGUCCAGACUCCUACGGGAGGCAGCAGUGGGGAAUAUUGGGCAAUGGGCGCAAGCCUGAUCCAGCCAUACCGCGUGGGUGAAGAAGGCCUUCGGGUUGUAAAGCCCUUUUGUUGGGAAAGAAAUCCAGCUGGCUAAUACCCGGUUGGGAUGACGGUACCCAAAGAAUAAGCACCGGCUAACUUCGUGCCAGCCGCCGCCGCGG